This 29-nucleotide non-coding RNA is filed under the name Mus musculus (house mouse). Lineage: Eukaryota; Metazoa; Chordata; Mammalia; Rodentia; Muridae. The record is from RNAcentral.
UAGGCAAGUUGAAAAGGAUUGCACUGUGU